Molecule: ribosomal RNA, 157 nt
Filed under: Fusarium oxysporum
Lineage: Eukaryota; Fungi; Ascomycota; Sordariomycetes; Hypocreales; Nectriaceae
Also listed under: 1 other name
Description: 5.8S ribosomal RNA
Rfam family: 5.8S ribosomal RNA
About the family: 5.8S ribosomal RNA (5.8S rRNA) is a component of the large subunit of the eukaryotic ribosome. It is transcribed by RNA polymerase I as part of the 45S precursor that also contains 18S and 28S rRNA. Functionally, it is thought that 5.8S rRNA may be involved in ribosome translocation.
Source: RNAcentral
AACUUUCAACAACGGAUCUCUUGGUUCUGGCAUCGAUGAAGAACGCAGCAAAAUGCGAUAAGUAAUGUGAAUUGCAGAAUUCAGUGAAUCAUCGAAUCUUUGAACGCACAUUGCGCCCGCCAGUAUUCUGGCGGGCAUGCCUGUUCGAGCGUCAUCU